Molecule: long non-coding RNA, 2846 nt
Filed under: Solanum lycopersicum (tomato)
Lineage: Eukaryota; Viridiplantae; Streptophyta; Magnoliopsida; Solanales; Solanaceae
Description: long non-coding RNA (SLYC_LNC000620)
Source: RNAcentral
GAUUACACAGAACAGUUCCCCAACGCGUGAGAGAACGACGACCCAAACCCAGAAUUCGAUCGCGCGUGACACGUCUUCUUCCCUUUCUCAGUCUGGUUGUGCGAUUUUCAGAGGAAGGCAGCGUACUUGUGCAGAGAGCAAGGCGAGGUGGCAAAAUCUCAGCGUCUCUCUCGUCCUAGAGUCGAUAUCGGAUGACUCUCCUUUCAAUUCCGUUGGGAAUUAGUACUAUGGACAACUUUCUACCUGUUCCUCUGAAGAGAUUUUGAAUUUCAAAUCUUGAAUUGGACCCCAUCCUCACCCGUUUUUCCACCUAAAUCAGCCCUAAUUUCCAUCUAUUUAAACCGACUCUGAUCUUCAUUAGGGGUGGGGGGGUGGGGGGGCUGGAAAGAGGAAGCAAGAAAAAAAAUGAAAAAGAAAACAUACUAAUCAUAUACUGUGUUCAUCAAUCGAUCGAAAUACGUAGAAAUAAGCUUCAAUCGAUAAUACUUGGAAGGUUAGCUUGGGAUUUUUCUCUCAGGGCGUUCAUUGAAGAUUUGUGGUGAAGUUGUCGCCAGCUCUUGGUUCCAAUUUGCUGCCCGGAAAAAGGUAUCGUCAUCUUCUUCUCCUUCAUAAUGUUCUCUCCAUCUUUUCUUCUAUUCUGAGAUUCUUUUUUAAUGUUUGAAAAGCUUUUAUUUCUUGUUUGUUGGCUAUUAAUUGUUGUGUAGUUUAUAAUAUGGCGCGUUUGUUCUUAGUCGUCUUAUCAUGUUAGUUUCAAUAUCGAGUUAAAAACUUUCGUGAAUCUGUGCUCAAUGGUGUGGACUCUCUGUUUCGAAUCUCUUCUCCUGUUUUGCUGGCUUUAAGCCUCAAAGUUUUGUUCAUUUUUGCUAUCGUUAAUACUGGUUUUUUUUCUUAAGAAAUGAGGUGAAAGCUUGAAGACUGAAUGAUGUGGAGGUUAUAUGUUGUGUUAUUGAUUGUUUGUUUGAUACAACUGCUUGUCUACCUCCCCAUUUUCAGAUCCCACGACGUUGUUGCCAUACAUUUUUCUCUAAGUAUGUGAUAUUUUUUCCUUCUUAGCAUGUCUAUGCUUGUUUUAUAUCUGCUAAUUAGUUUCUUUUCCAGUUUUCGUGAUUGACCUGUUCUCGUGUGUAUUUACAAAGCAUGAGUUGUGUUCUUUUACAAUGGCUUCCGUUGACUAAAUCAUUCCACAAGAUUAUAGUCUUAAAGUUUGAGGUUUUAAUGUAUGUUUGUUUAUCCUUAAAGACAUGCCUUAGUGUAUGAAAAAUGGAAAAUGUUUUGUUGCUUGCACCCUAUCCCUUCUCUUCAUGUGAAGUUGGAAAAAUAUGUUGAACUCCCUCUCUGAUUCAUGCCUAAAGUUUCAUAAAAAAAAGUAGCAUAUUUUAACAAUUUUAUCCACUGUUUUGCUCUUGUUCAACAAGCAUAACUUUGUGCUAUACAUAUUCCUCUCUUUUUACUCUGUUUGUCAUGUCUCAUAUUGCAUUUUAAUGGCAUCAAUUAUAAUGGUCUGUUUCUUUUCUUAAUUAGCAUUGGCUUCUUUGUUAUUAUAUUUGUCUAAGCAAAGAUGCCCUAGUCUUAUUUAGUUGGAUUACUGUCAACUUAAUAAUCCAACUAUUGCAUCCAUAUCAUAUUUAUUUUAUCAAAAUGAAUUGUUUCAAUUGUGCACGAGUUGUUUAUUUGGUAAAUGUGCAGCAUGCUCCCUUUACAUUUUUUUUGAGUCUAAUUGUUGAUGAAUGGUUAUGUACUUCCAUAAACAUAAUGUGCUCAUAGUUGAAUAUACAUGAAAUAUAUGUUACUAUCUCUAAGUGUCACAUUUGGAUAUCAACUUUGUAAGCUUUAGUUUGAUUCAUUUGCUUUUUCUUUAGAGUCACAUGUGUCGUUUCAAUUUGAACCCCUUGAAGUAGCUUUCUUUUAGUAAAAUCUGUUUUCGUUCAGGAUAUGUAUCUUGUUUAUUAUAUCAUUUCAUAUGCUAACCCAUUUCUAUUUUAUUGCAAGUAAAAAAUUCCUUUCGGGUCCUUACGGACCUCACUUCAUCUAUUCGCAUCCUCUCGUUGAGCCGUAAAGGCUCACACUACCAUAUACGAGGCGUCCAGCCCCCUCUAAACUGGUGUACAGGUCGAAAAGCAGCAAAUAUGUUGCUGGAAAAUAAUUUGCAGGUCUCCAAAAGCCUAAGAAAGGGCUAAUAUACUGUUGUAUACACUGAUAUACAGUUGAAAUAUGUGAUGUACAGUUCCAAAAAUUAUACAGGUGCUGGAAAUUUGAUCUGGGGCAGCAUAAAUUCGGUAUACAGCCCAAGAUACAGGAAAUGGGGCUAAUAUAUGAAUUUUAUACACUGAUAUACAACGUUUGUAUACAAACAGAAUUGAUUUUGAAGUCCAAAAUCAGCAGCUUUGGCCCAAUGUUUCUGCGCAGCAAUAGGCCCAGAAGGCCCAAACCUUCCUCUCUCACUCUUUUUUUAUUUGAAUUUAUUAAUUUGUCUAUCACUUUAUUUACUAAUUAAUUUUAAGGAUAACUUAAUUAAAUUCCCAAAAAGAUGAACCAUAUUCUUUAUGUUAGUGUAUAAAUUCUUUUUUUUUUCAAUUCUUGUUCAAAUAUCUUGGUCCAACCCUCGCUUCUUCUUUUCUAAUUAGUUUAAAAUGAUUCCUUGGGUUUUCGACUAAAUUAGUUCCAAAUUAUAAUGAAUUAAAUAAAUCCAAAUUAAUCUAGUUUGUUAAAAUUCUUAUCUCUUGUAUUUCAAGUCAAAUGUUUCAUUUUUUUUUGAUCUCUUUCUCUAAAAAUAUAUAAAAUGAAACUAAUAUGUCAUUUAUUUAAUUAUUUUUCUCAAAAUUAACCAAAUAUUAUAAAUUAUUAUU